This 279-nucleotide long non-coding RNA is filed under the name Phoenix dactylifera (date palm). Its description in RNAcentral is "long non-coding RNA (PDAC_LNC002546)". Lineage: Eukaryota; Viridiplantae; Streptophyta; Magnoliopsida; Arecales; Arecaceae. The record is from RNAcentral.
GAUUUUAAAUUCAACAAAAGUGUGAAUGCAUGCCUGAUACACAUACACAAAUUAAUCCACACAUAGUAAGGGCAAUCACCCCAACAAGAUAAGAACUAGAUUUCAUCACCAGAUUCUUGACCAAAUUAGGUGAAUCAAUUCUCACAUAGCCAUCAUUUUAAAUUAAAAUCAAUUAGACGUUGGCCCCUAGGGACAUUCGAGCUCAAUAGGACGAAGAUCACCGAAAGUUGCACCAAUUUCGCUCUGUGGCUCAGUUGAUGUCUGGGCAAGCUUUGUCCC